UGGGGAAUAUUGCACAAUGGGCGCAAGCCUGAUGCAGCCAUGCCGCGUGUGUGAAGAAGGCCUUCGGGUUGUAAAGCACUUUCAGCGAGGAGGAAGGGUAGUGUGUUAAUAGCACAUUGCAUUGACGUUACUCGCAGAAGAAGCACCGGCUAACUCCGUGCCAGCAGCCGCGGUAAUACGGAGGGUGCAAUCGUUAAUCGGAAUUACUGGGCGUAAAGCGCACGCAGGCGGUUUGUUAAGUCAGAUGUGAAAUCCCCGCGCUUAACGUGGGAACUGCAUUUGAAACUGGCAAGCUAGAGUCUUGUAGAGGGGGGUAGAAUUCCAGGUGUAGCGGUGAAAUGCGUAGAGAUCUGGAGGAAUACCGGUGGCGAAGGCGGCCCCCUGGACAAAGACUGACGCUCAGGUGCGAAAGCGUGGGGAGCAAACA
RNAcentral lists this ribosomal RNA (427 nucleotides) under uncultured bacterium. RNAcentral describes it as "partial 16S ribosomal RNA". It matches the Rfam family "Bacterial small subunit ribosomal RNA", at positions 355 to 774 of the family's 1533-position model. The record is from RNAcentral.